UAAAUUGAAGCCCGCUGGCUUGGGUUUUUAGUUGUUAACUAAAGGUUUACGGGAUCGAGGCCCGUCGAUCUAG
Molecule: transfer RNA, 73 nt
Filed under: Bavayia robusta
Lineage: Eukaryota; Metazoa; Chordata; Lepidosauria; Squamata; Diplodactylidae
Description: tRNA-Asn
Source: RNAcentral